CUUCGUGAUGCUUUCCAAUCACAGAAACACAGAAUCUCAGAGUGGGUGAGGCUGGAAGGGCCCACAGUGGCUCAUCUGGUCCCACCUCACUGCUCCAGCAGGGCCAUCCCAGAGCACAUGGCACAG
Molecule: long non-coding RNA, 126 nt
Organism: Corapipo altera (White-ruffed manakin)
Lineage: Eukaryota; Metazoa; Chordata; Aves; Passeriformes; Pipridae
Exons: 3
Source: RefSeq, a predicted model, not a curated record